AGUUAUAAAAGUGGUUGCCAUUUAUAAAAUAUUAUCCCCUAAGUCAAAAUGACUAUUAGCAGCUUUUAUUAACAAGGCAAAAAAAGUGAAAGUGGGAAAUGUAGGAAAGAGUCAGAGCCUUAACAAACUACCAGCCCUAAGUCUUUCUCCAGUGAAGUCUGGCUCAGUCCUUGGCAGGGGCUUUACCCAGUCCUAAUCUUCAUGUGGAUUUCCCAUUAGUCCUCAGCCAGAAGUCCCAGUGGUGUCUUCAGCCAGAGUUCUAGCAAUGUAAAAUGACUCCAAGGAAAGAAAGUAGCUUUACUCAGCCACAUAGAACCUAAGGAAAGAAUCCCUCCAAAAGCCAAGGAAGGAAUGUUUCCAAGCCAGAAGAGAGACAAAUUCAGGAAGACAUGAUCUUUUAUAGUCCUUUAACCAUGUCACUUCCUGUCUCUCCCUUACUUUACAGGAACCAAUCACAGUUUUCAAAUUGCCUAGUGCUCCCUAGGGGGGGAAGUGUCUGCAGGAUCCACCUCUUGUCCUUUGAAGGAAUUUGGGGUAUACUGAAGGGGACCUGGUGCUCACCACAGAAUCACAGAUGAUCAGAGUAGGAAGGGACUUUAGAAGCCAUCUGGUCAAACCUAUUCUUGAACAAGAAUCCCCUUCCAGGCCAUAUCCAACGAAUGAUCAUCUAACCUCUGCUUGAAGACCUCUAAGGAGGGGGGGAUCCACUAUUUCCUGAAACAACCAGU
Molecule: long non-coding RNA, 728 nt
Filed under: Monodelphis domestica (gray short-tailed opossum)
Lineage: Eukaryota; Metazoa; Chordata; Mammalia; Didelphimorphia; Didelphidae
Description: lncRNA (ENSMODG00000032374.2)
Source: RNAcentral